GUAGGUGGCAAGCGUUGUCCGGAAUUAUUGGGCGUAAAGCGCGCGCAGGCGGGUCCUUUAAGUCUGAUGUGAAAGCCCACGGGCUCAACCGUGGAGGGUCAUUGGAAACUGGGGGACUUGAGUACAGAAGAGGAAAGCGGAAUUCCACGUGUAGCGGUGUAAUGCGUAGAGAUGUGGAGGAACACCAGUGGCGAAGGCGGCUUUCUGGUCUGUAACUGACGCUGAGGCGCGAAAGCGUGGGGAGCAAACAGGAUUAGAUACCCUGGUAGUCCACGCCGUAAACGAUGAGUGCUAAGUGUUAGGGGGUUUCCGCCCCUUAGUGCUGCAGCUAACGCAUUAAGCACUCCGCCUGGGGAGUACGGCCGCAAGGCUA
This 373-nucleotide ribosomal RNA is filed under the name uncultured organism. Its description in RNAcentral is "partial 16S ribosomal RNA". It matches the Rfam family "Bacterial small subunit ribosomal RNA", at positions 527 to 896 of the family's 1533-position model. The record is from RNAcentral.